This 1445-nucleotide long non-coding RNA is filed under the name Homo sapiens (human). RNAcentral describes it as "novel transcript". Lineage: Eukaryota; Metazoa; Chordata; Mammalia; Primates; Hominidae. The record is from RNAcentral.
AGAACCACCUGCUGGAGAAAGGGAGCUACGGGGGCCGGGCAGGGUCCAAACGCCUCACGUGGGCGGCGGCGCCACGGUCUUCGGGGUCACAGGGAAGAGAAGGGCUCUCCUCAAGCGGGUGGAAGGAGGGAGGCCUCCCGAGGGAAUGAGACUCCAGGCCACUCCCCCGCAGCAAGGCAGGAUCACCUGCGUCGCGGAGAGCAGUUAGAGGUCCCUGGAGUGGAAAAGGGCAGUGGGACCUGGUAGCUUGGGUUCCCUGCAACUUGGGGUUCGACCUCCAGGCAAUGAAGUAGGGAUGGUCCUGCAAGUCAAGAUUCCAGUAGCAAGAGUGCAUCAGAUCUCUGUAAGGAAAAUAACUAACAUUGCUCAGUUCCCUGUAGAGUUGCAGGGCGCUUUGACGUUAUCUCCCUUGGUUCUCCAUCAGGUCGUAGUGGACUAAUUUUACAGGCGAAGUUAAGUGACUUACCCAAAACCUCACAGCUAAUAAACGGCAGAGCCGGCACCCAGCUGUACUGGCUUCCAGCGCAUCCCAUUAUCUCCAUAAAUCCCCCUGAUUCAACUAAUAUUAGACGCCCCACAGAGUCUCGCUGCUCAAAACGUGGUCAGUGGCCCAGCAGCACUGACAUGAGGACCUUAGUUGGAAACUCAGAAUCUCAGGCUCCACCCCAGACCUGCUGAACCAGCAUCUUCAACUUAACAAGAACCCGAAGAGAUUUGUGCCACAUCAAAAAGUUUGAGAAGCUCUGAUCUAGCUGGACCCUGGACACGGUGACUCUGAUUCAAUUAUGCAGAUGACCACAAGCCUCUGGGGUUGGCAGAGCCACAAGAAAGAAGGUGCCUGGAUGAAGGAGAGCUACCCACUGACCUGGACACCCAAUUAUAGGAUAGACAGUGAAGUGCAACUACAGCCCGCAAAUGAAAAUGAAUAAAAUUAAUCCAGCCCCUCAAGGCAGUCAUCUGUCUUAGAGCUAUUGGAAUCCUGGAUCAUUGUGGGAAAUGAAAAGAACUGGUUUUUAGCAAGGAGACCAAGAAACUCUACUCCCUAGGGGCUAGCAAUGAGAGAAAGGAAGCCUUGAGUCUUUGAGCACAGGGUGACAGUUUGGGUCCUAUGUGAGAUGAUCAAAUCCACAGCAACAGAGGAAAGGACAAAAGGAAAAGAUACUUCGAUGGAAUCAGCAGCCAUUGAUCCAAUGCCAACUCCAAGACUGGAACGUCGCAAUGAUAGUUCCAAGGCGGAAAUUUGACGUAAUUCUUUUCGACACAGUUUUACAGGUCUGGAUGCCCAUUUUAAUUCUUCUGAAAGCAUGCCUCCUUCUGGCUUCAGGACUCCAUCUCCAGCCUUAUGAUCUAAAAAUAAUCCCCAAACCAAAAAAUUAGAUAUUAUUUCCUCAAAAUUAGGUGUUUUAAUCAAAACAUCUUAACAUAAAUACAUUAUUAUCACCCAA